UAUUUAUUGGAGCGUGUGCCAGAAAACAUGCGGCUCUCCAACUCCAUGACUUCAUGGCUAUCCUUGUUUUGAAUAGGGUUUAAGGUGGGGAACAUUAGCCUAGAUUAAAGGAAAAUGUUAAAUUGUAGACAAGUGGCCUGUGAAAGGUGACUUCUCAAGGUGUCAUCUCAAGGUGGCAGCCCUUUGCUUCUCAAAUAUUUGUGGCUGAAUCCUCGGUGGUUAUAUUCCCAGGCCCUCUGGGCUUUGCAGAUGUCCCUCCAUCUCCAGCCCUCCCAUCCCUGCCCUGGCCUUUGUGGAAGCCCGAGGAGGAUGUUGGACCCACAGCUGACAGCUAAGGAGAAGUAACUUGCUUUGGGCAGGAAUGGUACUGAUGUGGUAACUGGAGGUGGUGACAAUGUUGGUGUCACCCUUGAGAGAAGGGGCCCUGCUUCUUGCGCUGCUUCUCAGAGCACUGCAGAGACACUGGGCACCUUGUCAACUGCCAGCACCUGUCACCCCCAGAAGAUUCCUGGUAGAGUCACCGUCUGCAGUGUUACGUGCUCAAGACUCAAGGAAUGCAAAGCAAUAGGCAAAGGAAUGGAAGACAUUAGAAAAGGGUGCUCCUGUUGGCCGGAUGAAGAGCAGAGCGAAAGAGGAAGUCAUUAAAAGGACCCCUUGCGCAAGAAACCCACUUGAGUUGGAGAUGUUUAGACACAUCUCUUCUUGUACAAUGAUUUAAAAAAUGUUUUAAAUGCAGGCCGUCAGUGAGACAUCCAGCUCUUGGUCCUGGCCAGGGACAGUAGAAAGGAUGUCAUCAUGGGAGGGACCCUGGCAAGACCUGCAGAGGCAUCUGGUGUGGCCAGAGGUGAUGUCAGGGGUGCCCGACCCCUUGCCUUUCCCACCAGGGCGCGAGGUGGCAGGAAGGCGGCUUCCCUCCAUGCCGCUUCUCCAGGACACGGAGGACGGCAGCAGCUUCUGGCCUGCGCAUGCCGGGCAGGCACUGUAUGGGGGAUGGGAGGGGAGAUGGGGCCCUUCAAAGCCUGCGAAGCAGAGACUCUUCCAGGUCCAGGAAAACCUGAGCGCAGGUCUAAUUAUCAGCAGAAACCUACACUUAAUAUUAAGAAAUGGAGAGGCCACUCUAGCCGGGAGCAGCAUGGCCCGAAGAUGUCUCCACAUCGUCCCAAGACCCAUUCCUGAAAUCAGAGGUGCUGGGGUGUGUUGAGGAGGAAGGCUCCUGAAGAGGAAAGUGACAGCCUUGGACACACAGCACCCUGCCCUUGUUCCUAACUCAGUUACUUCCUUAACUAUCCUCAGAGCAAAUGCACUCAUUUAAACAAAUGGCAUAGUUAAAACUAUUGACUAAGCCUUAAACAUUUCUUCUGAGAAAUCGAACCAUAGCUUUUCCAAUCUGCCUGUUC
This is a long non-coding RNA of Marmota monax (woodchuck), 1397 nucleotides long. RefSeq lists it as uncharacterized. The transcript is spliced from 4 exons. The record is from RefSeq and is a predicted model, not a curated record. Lineage: Eukaryota; Metazoa; Chordata; Mammalia; Rodentia; Sciuridae.